CCUACGGGUGGCAGCAGUGAGGAAUAUUGGUCAAUGGGCGAGAGCCUGACCCAGCCAAGUCGCGUGAGGGAGUACUGCCCUAUGGGUUGUAACCCUCUUUUGUCGGGGAGCAAAAGCCGGACGUGUCCGGCUGUGAGAGUACCCGAAGAAAAAGCAUCGGCUAACUACGUGCCAGCAGCCGCGGUAAUACGUAGGGGGCAAGCGUUAUCCGGAUUUACUGGGUGUAAAGGGAGCGUAGACGGCAGAGCAGGUCUGGAGUGAAAUCCCAUGGCUUAACCAUGGAACUGCUUUGGAAACUGUGGAACUGGAGUGCAGGAGAGGUAAGCGGAAUUCCUAGUGUAGCGGUGAAAGGCGUAGAUAUUAGGAGGAACACCAGUGGCGAAGGCGGAUAACUGGACUGUAACUGACGUUGAGGCGCGAAAGCGUGGGGAGCAAACAGGAUUAGAUACCCCAGUAGUC
This 459-nucleotide ribosomal RNA is filed under the name uncultured bacterium. Its description in RNAcentral is "partial 16S ribosomal RNA". It matches the Rfam family "Bacterial small subunit ribosomal RNA", at positions 338 to 795 of the family's 1533-position model. The record is from RNAcentral.